Molecule: ribosomal RNA, 613 nt
Filed under: Klebsiella oxytoca
Lineage: Bacteria; Pseudomonadati; Pseudomonadota; Gammaproteobacteria; Enterobacterales; Enterobacteriaceae
Also listed under: 1 other name
Description: bacterial SSU rRNA
Rfam family: Bacterial small subunit ribosomal RNA
Source: RNAcentral
UCCGGAGCUAACGCGUUAAGUCGACCGCCUGGGGAGUACGGCCGCAAGGUUAAAACUCAAAUGAAUUGACGGGGGCCCGCACAAGCGGUGGAGCAUGUGGUUUAAUUCGAUGCAACGCGAAGAACCUUACCUACUCUUGACAUCCAGAGAACUUAGCAGAGAUGCUUUGGUGCCUUCGGGAACUCUGAGACAGGUGCUGCAUGGCUGUCGUCAGCUCGUGUUGUGAAAUGUUGGGUUAAGUCCCGCAACGAGCGCAACCCUUAUCCUUUGUUGCCAGCGGUCCGGCCGGGAACUCAAAGGAGACUGCCAGUGAUAAACUGGAGGAAGGUGGGGAUGACGUCAAGUCAUCAUGGCCCUUACGAGUAGGGCUACACACGUGCUACAAUGGCGCAUACAAAGAGAAGCGACCUCGCGAGAGCAAGCGGACCUCAUAAAGUGCGUCGUAGUCCGGAUUGGAGUCUGCAACUCGACUCCAUGAAGUCGGAAUCGCUAGUAAUCGUAGAUCAGAAUGCUACGGUGAAUACGUUCCCGGGCCUUGUACACACCGCCCGUCACACCAUGGGAGUGGGUUGCAAAAGAAGUAGGUAGCUUAACCUUCGGGAGGGCGCUUACC